CUAGCAAUCAGGGAGACUCCGUGGGCGUAGGACCCUCCGAGCCAGGUGUGGGAUAUAAUCUCGUGGUGCGCCGUUUUUUUAAGCCCGUCGGAAAAGCGCAGUAUUCGGGUGGGAGUGACCUGACUUUCCAGACCCGAGUCAUCCCUGGAGUCUCACACUUGAUCUUAGCCAAAAGGCCGAGAAGCGAUCAUCCCUGGAGUCUCUCUGA
Molecule: non-coding RNA, 208 nt
Filed under: Pan troglodytes (chimpanzee)
Lineage: Eukaryota; Metazoa; Chordata; Mammalia; Primates; Hominidae
Source: RNAcentral